Non-coding RNA from Nicotiana tabacum (common tobacco), 1718 nucleotides. The record is from RefSeq and is a predicted model, not a curated record. NCBI's taxonomy places the organism in Eukaryota, Viridiplantae, Streptophyta, Magnoliopsida, Solanales, Solanaceae.
UUCACCCAUCUCACGUUCUCAUAUUAAUUUUAUCUUUUCCUUACAAUAUAAAAACAAAGUCUCCAAUUAAUUAUCUCUUCCAUUAGAUCUCAGUAUCGUUUCUACUCUGUGAUUGAGAAGAACAGAUGCCACGUGGCAGAAGGCUUUGGAUUGCGUGAGGAGAAGAGGGUAAUAGCUUCUUGAAGUGAGAGAAGCCCAAUGAAUGCUCUGUGUGUGUUAAAAGUCUGAAAACAUUACUCCUAUUUCAAUCACUGGGGCACAAAAUAGUCAAGUCCUCAGCUUGGGAUCCUCGAUACGUUCGAUUCUAUUGAUACAGACUGGAGUAUUAUUUUUCAAAAAGAAUAGAGAGUAUGAAUAAGCUAAAAACAUCAAGCUCCGAAUUGGACUUGGAUCGACCCAAUCUCGAAGAUUAUCUUCCAACUGGAUCCAUCCCAGAACCCCAUGGCAAGCUUCGCCUGCGCGAUUUAAUUGAUAUUUCUCCCACCCUAACUGAGGCUGCUGGUGCCAUUGUUGACGAUUCUUUCACCAGAUGCUUCAAGUCAAAUCCACCAGAACCUUGGAACUGGAACAUUUAUUUGUUCCCUUUAUGGUGCUUGGGGGUUGUUGUUAGAUAUGGGAUUCUUUUCCCUAUAAGAGUUAUUGUCUUGACAAUAGGAUGGAUAAUAUUCCUCUCUUGCUAUAUCCCGGUGCAUUUCCUGCUGAAAGGACACGAUAAGUUCAGGAAAAAGCUUGAGAGAUGUCUGGUGGAGCUGAUAUGCAGUUUCUUUGUUGCAUCUUGGACUGGGGUUGUCAAAUACCAUGGUCCACGGCCUAGCAUACGACCUAAGCAGGUUUUUGUGGCGAAUCACACGUCAAUGAUAGAUUUUAUUGUCCUAGAGCAGAUGACUGCAUUUGCAGUGAUCAUGCAGAAGCAUCCUGGAUGGGUUGGACUACUGCAGAGUACCAUUUUAGAAGGUGUUGGAUGUAUCUGGUUCAACCGCUCAGAAGCCAAGGAUCGCGAAAUUGUAGCACGAAAGUUGAGGCAACAUGUUGAAGGGGCCGAUAACAACCCUCUUCUUAUAUUCCCCGAGGGAACUUGCGUAAAUAACCACUACACUGUCAUGUUCAAAAAGGUUUAAAUUUUAUGGUGUUUCUGGUNAAUCAAGUACAACAAAAUUUUUGUUGACGCCUUUUGGAAUAGUAGAAAACAAUCCUUCACAACGCACCUCUUGCAGCUCAUGACAUCUUGGGCUGUUGUCUGUGAUGUUUGGUACCUGGAGCCUCAGAACAUAAGACCUGGGGAGACUCCAAUCGAGUUUGCAGAGAGGGUGAGGGACAUCAUUUCUGCUAGAGCAGGUCUUAAAAAGGUUCCUUGGGAUGGAUAUUUAAAAUACUCUCGUCCUAGCCCCAAGCACCGAGAGAGGAAGCAACAGAGUUUUGCAGAAUCAGUGCUGCGUCGCCUGGAAGAGAAGUAGAGAAUUGGAUGUAUGCGUUGUCUCCAUGUUCACUUUUGCUUUGAGUUUGAUCUUAUUCUUAAGUUUAUUUUUUUGUGGCCUAUAGGCUAUAGCUGUUCAAAUUGGAAUAGUUGCACAAUUUGGCUUUCAUCAUUUUCAUUAACCACAAUAAAGAGAAUAUUAGAACAAACUUGGCAGCAAUUGUAUGUGAAGCCCUUUGCUUAGUCUUAAUGAUUUUUACUUUGGAUGUCCACGCAAUAUACAAUAUUGUUUCUUGUGGCUGUU